Molecule: long non-coding RNA, 643 nt
Organism: Lineus longissimus
Lineage: Eukaryota; Metazoa; Nemertea; Pilidiophora; Heteronemertea; Lineidae
Exons: 3
Source: RefSeq, a predicted model, not a curated record
UACAGUCAGGCGCCAUCUAACGAGUCACGGUCCAUGUGCAGUCGGAGGGUAUGUCGGAGGGGAGGACCGUCGCCGCAGGGACCACACAUACUCCAGUGAUCCAGUCCAAUCAACGUCGUCACAGGGACCAACUGUCAGGAAAAAGGAACCAAAGAAAUAUCAAACAAAAAACAUGUUAGUCUCCGCCAGCUUCGUCUCGCAAGACGUGAUUGACUCAUCUGUUCCGUGUGUUUUGGAGCAUUCUACGUGCUUACAAUUAGGUCUUAGUCUGUAUGCCACCGAAAAGUCAUUACAAGUUGCCGUUGGGCGUCUCAGAUCGUCUUCAUUCGCUCUUUUGUUCAAAUCGGGGAUUAACAAUGGUGGAUCGUUACCACCGUCUCUAUUGGGAAUAGCAUGAUCUACCUUAUGACAUUUUCUAAAGUAAGUGCAGGCAAUGGAGCCCUUUUCAUGUCCAUUCUUCCUGUGCUUCAUCUUGGGAAUGAUCCAACAGGUGGUCGUUUCAACAGUGGGUCAUUCCAACAGUGGCCUGAAGUUGUGUUAAUGACAUUCCUAUUGGUUGUGAUACUGAUGACAUCAUAGAUGAACAUUGUAUCAGCCAAUGAGAAUUGAACUUGAUGAUUGUGCACUGAGUCGAAACAAAGCA